UACGGGAGGCAGCAGUGGGGAAUAUUGGACAAUGGGCGAAAGCCUGAUCCAGCAAUGCCGCGUGAGUGAUGAAGGCCUUAGGGUUGUAAAGCUCUUUUACCCGGGAUGAUAAUGACAGUACCGGGAGAAUAAGCUCCGGCUAACUCCGUGCCAGCAGCCGCGGUAAUACGGAGGGAGCUAGCGUUAUUCGGAAUUACUGGGCGUAAAGCGCACGUAGGCGGCUUUGUAAGUUAGAGGUGAAAGCCUGGAGCUCAACUCCAGAAUUGCCUUUAAGACUGCAUCGCUUGAAUCCAGGAGAGGUGAGUGGAAUUCCGAGUGUAGAGGUGAAAUUCGUAGAUAUUCGGAAGAACACCAGUGGCGAAGGCGGCUCACUGGACUGGNAUUGACG
RNAcentral lists this ribosomal RNA (388 nucleotides) under uncultured bacterium. Its description in RNAcentral is "bacterial SSU rRNA". It matches the Rfam family "Bacterial small subunit ribosomal RNA", at positions 340 to 745 of the family's 1533-position model. The record is from RNAcentral.